GACGAACGCUGGCGGCGUGCUUAACACAUGCAAGUCGAACGGAAAGGCCCUGCUUUUGUGGGGUGCUCGAGUGGCGAACGGGUGAGUAACACGUGAGUAACCUACCCUUGACUUUGGGAUAACUUCAGGAAACUGGGGCUAAUACCGGAUAGGAGCUCCUGCUGCAUGGUGGGGGUUGGAAAGUUUCGGCGGUUGGGGAUGGACUCGCGGCUUAUCAGCUUGUUGGUGGGGUAGUGGCUUACCAAGGCUUUGACGGGUAGCCGGCCUGAGAGGGCGACCGGCCACAUUGGGACUGAGAUACGGCCCAGACUCCUACGGGAGGCAGCAGUGGGGAAUAUUGCACAAUGGGCGGAAGCCUGAUGCAGCAACGCCGCGUGCGGGAUGACGGCCUUCGGGUUGUAAACCGCUUUCGCCUGUGACGAAGCGUGAGUGACGGUAAUGGGUAAAGAAGCACCGGCUAACUACGUGCCAGCAGCCGCGGUGAUACGUAGGGUGCGAGCGUUGUCCGGAUUUAUUGGGCGUAAAGGGCUCGUAGGUGGUUGAUCGCGUCGGAAGUGUAAUCUUGGGGCUUAACCCUGAGCGUGCUUUCGAUACGGGUUGACUUGAGGAAGGUAGGGGAGAAUGGAAUUCCUGGUGGAGCGGUGGAAUGCGCAGAUAACAGGAGGAACACCAGUGGCGAAGGCGGUUCUCUGGGCCUUUCCUGACGCUGAGGAGCGAAAGCGUGGGGAGCGAACAGGCUUAGAUACCCUGGUAGUCCACGCUGUAAACGGUGGGUACUAGGUGUGGGGUCCAUUCCACGGGUUCCGUGCCGUAGCUAACGCUUUAAGUACCCCGCCUGGGGAGUACGGCCGCAAGGCUAAAACUCAAAGGAAUUGACGGGGCCCCGCACAAGCGGCGGAGCAUGCGGAUUAAUUCGAUGCAACGCGUAGAACCUUACCUGGGUUUGACAUGGAUCGGGAGUGCUCAGAGAUGGGUGUGCCUCUUUUGGGGUCGGUUCACAGGUGGUGCAUGGCUGUCGUCAGCUCGUGUCGUGAGAUGUUGGGUUAAGUCCCGCAACGAGCGCAACCCUUGUUCACUGUUGCCAGCACGUUAUGGUGGGGACUCAGUGGAGACCGCCGGGGUCAACUCGGAGGAAGGUGGGGAUGACGUCAAGUCAUCAUGCCCCUUAUGUCCAGGGCUUCACGCAUGCUACAAUGGCUGGUACAGAGAGUGGCGAGCCUGUGAGGGUGAGCGAAUCUCGGAAAGCCGGUCUCAGUUCGGAUUGGGGUCUGCAACUCGACCUCAUGAAGUCGGAGUCGCUAGUAAUCGCAGAUCAGCAACGCUGCGGUGAAUACGUUCCCGGGGCU
RNAcentral lists this ribosomal RNA (1346 nucleotides) under uncultured bacterium. RNAcentral's name for it is "partial 16S ribosomal RNA". It matches the Rfam family "Bacterial small subunit ribosomal RNA", at positions 28 to 1381 of the family's 1533-position model. The record is from RNAcentral.